Arachis ipaensis is the source of this 1892-nucleotide non-coding RNA. The record is from RefSeq and is a predicted model, not a curated record. NCBI's taxonomy places the organism in Eukaryota, Viridiplantae, Streptophyta, Magnoliopsida, Fabales, Fabaceae.
AAUGUGGUUCUCCUCUUUGGGUCACCUGGUCUGUGCUCAUUUUAAUUGCCUGACAGUUAGAUUUUACUUUUGAAUUAGGUAGCUAAACAUCUGUUCAUUCCUUAUGUUCUUUCUUCAAUUUGAUUUUUCGGAUAUUUAUAGGGCGAUCUGGGAACAUAGAAAAUUGCAAGCUUGGCCGCAGAAGAUCUCAUCUCUCAAAGCUGAGCACUACUGUUAUCAGAGAAAGUUCACAAAAAUCAAGUUCAAGAGUCCACAAUUGUGGAACACCGUACAGGCCAACUCUGCUAAAGGAAGAAGUGGCAGUCAUGAAUUACGUUUUUUUUAAUUAUUUUUCUUAGUUCUAAAAUUAGACUGCUAUAUAGGUGAUGCUUAAGUAGCAAGUUCCUUUAUUACUAAAUUUCACAUGAGAUAUUCGACCUCUUUGCUUUUGAAACUUCGAAACAUUUCAACCAUAUAAAAUGUAUCAUUCUUUGUAGGUCAAAUAUCUCUGUUUUAUUCGAUGAUUACACUUAAAUUAUCCAAGUUCAUGUGUCAUCCGUGAAAUAUAAGGAAGUUUUCCUGUUUGAGAUAUUAGAGGAUAAUUGACCAACAAUGAAACAUGAAGUGCCGUGCAAUUCACCAAUCAUCAAGAAUACCAUCUAAUAAAUGAAAAGAGCAAGAACACAAAUUAUUUGGACAACACAACUCUUUAUUGUCGUGAAAUAUUUAUCAAGCAACUAACUUCUUUUGUAUCUUGUACAUAGCACUCUACCUCUUGGAUAACUUCACAUCAGUACACUAACUCUUAUCACAUAUAGAAUGAAUUUGGUACAAAUAAAUGCUCCACUUUUAAGUGUGUCUUGUCAUAGCUCUAUUAUUGUUAGUUGUGCUGGCUCUAGCCUCUAGGUUCCUUUUGCAGAGGUGGAAGAUUUGUUUUUCACAUAAUUGGAGGCCUGAUUGUGUUGGCAAAAUCUUAUCUUGGGAUUAAAGAUUUCAUGUGGAAACAAAUCUUGCGAGUUUUUGCCAAGCUCAGUUGGUGGCAUAAAGCAAUUUUUGAGGGAAUGUUUCACAAAAGAGGACAACUUUGGUGAAAAAGAAAAGCUUACGUGGUAGAUUGCAUAAGCUUCUCUUCUACAAGCUCAAUGCAACGGUACAAAACAAGUUUAUGUGGAUUCAAAGUACAUAAAGUGUCAACUGCAAGCUGAUCAUAAUCAUUCUUGUUCUCUGUCAUAAUCCCACUCACCAAGGUGCGGAAAGGAAGCAGCCAUUCAUUGUAGGUCUUCACUAAAUUGCUCCUAGACAAUACUCCAGUGCGGUUUGUCUUUUCUGAUACAAAUAAGGACCAAAACCUUCACUUUUAAGUUUGAUUGAAUCUGCCAAUGACAAACAUAUGCAAAAAGCAAAAUUUUGUCCCACUAGACAAGAUCGACAACGUGAUCAGACAAUAAAGUGAUAUCAAAAAUUAUUUACACUUUUUAAAUAAAAAGUUAAUCUUAUCUCCUGUUAUAGAAAAAUCCAACAUUCAAGCAGUUCGUUGACUAUAUUUUGCUACUCAUUAACUACUAUUCUCUGAGCAUUAGCUGAUAAAUCAUAGACGUUAUAGAGAAAUUCUUACAAACUACUAGUUUAACAUCUCAUUGUUAGGCACGCUAACAAUAUAAGCAGUCUUACUUACUUUAUUUAAAAUAUAUCCAUCUAUCUAUGGAUCCCACCAAGUUUUACGUAUGCAAAAAUAAUAUUGUAAACUUGAGUAACCUAGUGUCAACAAGGUAACUACUGCCAACAAAUUACCCUUUUAGAGCCCUGACAAAGGAGGAACAAUGUAACUGGCAGCCUUGGUCAUAUUACUUGAGUAACCUAGUGUCUGUUCCAACUAGAUUAACAGAAACAUAGGAUCAAGAUAUUAACAAAAA